This 252-nucleotide ribosomal RNA is filed under the name uncultured bacterium. Its description in RNAcentral is "partial 16S ribosomal RNA". It matches the Rfam family "Bacterial small subunit ribosomal RNA", at positions 524 to 776 of the family's 1533-position model. The record is from RNAcentral.
UACAGAGGGGCAAGCGUUAUUCGGAAUUAUUGGGCGUAAAGGGCGCGUAGGCGGCCUGGCAAGUGGAAGGUGAAAUCCCUCGGCUUAACCGAGGAACUGCCCUCCAAACUGCUUGGCUUGAGUCCGGGAGAGGUGAGUGGAAUUCCCAGUGUAGCGGUGAAAUGCGUAGAUAUUGGGAGGAACACCAGUGGCGAAGGCGAUCAUCUGGGAUUAACCUGACGCUGAGGAGCGAAAGCCAGGGGAGCAAACGGG